UACAGGGGGGGCAAGCGUUGUUCGGAAUUACUGGGCGUAAAGGGUUCGUAGGUGGCCACUUAAGUCAGACGUGAAAUCCCUCAGCUUAACUGGGGAACUGCGUCUGAUACUGAGUGGCUUGAGUGCAGGAGAGGAAUGCGGAAUUCCAGGUGUAGCGGUGAAAUGCGUAGAUAUCUGGAGGAACACCGGUGGCGAAGGCGGCAUCCUGGACCGGCAUUGACGCUGAGGAGCGAAAGCCAGGGGAGCAAACGGG
This 253-nucleotide ribosomal RNA is filed under the name uncultured bacterium. RNAcentral describes it as "partial 16S ribosomal RNA". It matches the Rfam family "Bacterial small subunit ribosomal RNA", at positions 524 to 776 of the family's 1533-position model. The record is from RNAcentral.